UCCUGGUUGGCCCAGGCAGUAUCGCGUGAGAAAUACAACACACGAUAAGGGUUUCGCUCGUUACCGGACUUAACCGAACAUCUCACGACACGAGCUGAGGACGGCCAUGCAACACCUGUCACUAGGUUCCCGAAGGCACAGCCCUAUUUCUAGGGCCUUCCUAGGAUGUCAAACCUUGGUAAGGUUCUUCGCGUAGCAUCGAAUUAAACCACAUGCUCCACUGCUUGUGCGGGUCCCCGUCAAUUCCUUUGAGUUUUAGCCUUGCGGCCGUACUCCCCAGGCGGGAUGCUUAACGCGUUAGCUUCGCAACGCAAAGGGUCGAUACUUCACACUACUAGCAUCCAUCGUUUACGGCGUGGACUAC
RNAcentral lists this unclassified non-coding RNA (364 nucleotides) under uncultured bacterium. Its description in RNAcentral is "contains 16S-23S intergenic spacer region". The record is from RNAcentral.